Molecule: ribosomal RNA, 476 nt
Filed under: uncultured organism
Description: partial 16S ribosomal RNA
Rfam family: Bacterial small subunit ribosomal RNA
Source: RNAcentral
ACACUCCUGCGGGAGGCAGCAGUGGGGAAUUUUGGACAAUGGGCGAAAGCCUGAUCCAGCAAUGCCGCGUGAGUGAAGAAGGCCUUCGGGUUGUAAAGCUCUUUUGUCAGGGAAGAAACGGUGAAAGCUAAUAUCUUUUGCUAAUGACGGUACCUGAAGAAUAAGCACCGGCUAACUACGUGCCAGCAGCCGCGGUAAUACGUAGGGUGCAAGCGUUAAUCGGAAUUACUGGGCGUAAAGCGUGCGCAGGCGGUUUUGUAAGUCUGAUGUGAAAUCCCCGGGCUCAACCUGGGAAUUGCAUUGGAGACUGCAAGGCUAGAAUCUGGCAGAGGGGGGUAGAAUUCCACGUGUAGCAGUGAAAUGCGUAGAUAUGUGGAGGAACACCGAUGGCGAAGGCAGCCCCCUGGGUCAAGAUUGACGCUCAUGCACGAAAGCGUGGGGAGCAAACAGGAUUAGAUACCCGAGUAGUCCCAUGA